This is an RNA transcript of Daphnia pulicaria, 3252 nucleotides long. RefSeq lists it as uncharacterized. The record is from RefSeq and is a predicted model, not a curated record. The transcript is spliced from 10 exons. NCBI's taxonomy places the organism in Eukaryota, Metazoa, Arthropoda, Branchiopoda, Diplostraca, Daphniidae.
AUCGCUAAAGACCUCUGGUUUUUUCGUUCUUCGGAUCUCUCUCUCUUGCGCUCACUACACCCCCACCAUCAGCACUCAUCUCAAUAUCCCCCCCUAGCGCCGACUGGUUUUUGACAUCUAUCCCGAAAGACAUCCUGUGCUGUGUUAGUCGUGAAUAUUAUUACAGUUUUUUGCGGGCAACACGAUCAACGACUUGAAUUUUUUUUUGGUUCCAAGUUGAAAGUUUCUAGUUUCGAACGGGAAGAAAAGGAAAAAAAAAUCUGUUGGUAUUUUUACAACUGGAAAAAUGUGGACGCUUCAAAGGUCAACGGCUAACAACUCUCAAACGGCAGCCAAAGAGAGUUUGGCCAACAAAAGUUUCACCCUACAACGGUUCUCAAACGUACAGCGCGAUAAUUACCGCUCCGGGCCAACUACAGGACAGGACAUGGUUUCACGACGCCGCAUCUUGUCACGAUCCCGUGACGAUCUCCACUUGGACAACUUCCCUGAAGAGGAGGAUGACGUCUGGCACAUCAAGGAGAAACUCUACAAGGACCACAUCCAAGAGGUUUUGGACAAAUGGCAUCAAAUCGACGACGAGAUCUGGGCCAAGCUCAUCGUCAUGGAACGCAAUCGCCGUGUGGCCAAAGCGUACGCCCGGGCCAUCCCCAUUCAGAUUAACGGAAGCGACGAUGGUUUCGACGGAUUCCGGAUUGGAUUGAACGGAUUCGACAACCCGAUGCGUGACAACCGGACCGAGGAAGCCAAACGUCAGAUCGGCGAAGGCGCCAAGGUCCGCAUGGACGAGAAAGGAAACAUCCACAUCAAGCGCGUUUCCAAGAGUAACAUCUACAUCAAAAACACUUCGGAUGAGAACGGCAUCGGCAAUGAUAUCCUCAAGCUGCCGCAGGGAGCCCUGGAAUUCGGCAAAGGCUACCUGCUGUUCGACAUGAAGAAAUUCCAGCAGAACGUGUCCCGCGAACUGAAACGGGCCUAUCCCGAUCGCCGCAAACUGGAAAUGCAAUGCAUCACGGCCAUCGCCUUUGCCAAGAACGAUAUGGAGCUGCUCAACUGUCCCUGCUGGGUCAUGAUUGUCAACAUUGUGGCCAUGGAUAUGCUCAAAUCCAAGAUGCCACCCGUCAGCAAGCGCUCGGACAUUCGCAAUCGCCCGCGCAUUCCCAUUCCCGAUGAGGACCCGUACAGCGUGGCCGGCAGCGGCUCUAGCGGCAGCUCGUCGCACAAUGGCAACAGCAACAACGGCAACGGAACCAUACCGGCCAACUCGAACGCGGUCAUUGGCACUAAACGUGGCGACAAACCACCCAAACUACCACCUCGCGACAAUGGCAUUUACGGCUCAAACAUUCCAAAACCCGACUACGACGAAAUCGACGAGAAUGGAUACAAAGCCUUCGCUUCAACUCGGCCCAGCAAAGAGAAGCUGUUGUCGACCGACAAAAAAUACGACGAUCCUUACUACUGCGGUCUGCGUGCUCGCGUCUCCAACUUCGUGAAGAACAAGAACACCAAUGAGAAGCCGGUCAAAGAGCUCGGAACCGAGAUCAAAAUGAAGAUGACGCCACAUGUGGGCACAUACCAAGCUGCCCUGUCUCAUGGACACCCCAUGCAGACUCAUCAAAUGUGGCACUCGCGAAGCUUCGACAGCGGAAUGGCCUCGCUGCCGAGCAGCGUCACACCCGAUAUUCAACGGUUAUGGAAAGCUUAUCCUUUCGAACGCAAUCCUACGUCGUGGGUACCUUCCCAUCCCCAUGGAUACAGCCCAGACACGGCCACGACGAUCAAGACGUACAAGAAAGCUGUGGCAAACAUCCGCACCCUCAGCACGCCGUACAGCUAAAAACGAGAAGUCACUGACGCCACCAUAAAUAUCCUCCUCCUCCUACUCCUAUCCUUUUACUCCUCUUUACCCUUUUUUGAUUUUACCCUUUUUAUUUUUAUUCCAUUCCAAAAUUUUGUUCCUUGUUUUUUUCCCUUACGUUCACUUACCUUAUAUCCAAAAUGACGACAACAGACGACCGCAACCGAGAUGGCAACAUUUCCAACGAAACAGAGCUCACAGACUCGGCUUACUCCCGCAUCUACGGUCGCUUGCCGAUCCCGCGCAGCUAUGUCCCAAUUGCAGCGCCGUCGCGAGCGUCGUACUACGGGGAGUGGAAUUGAUGUCGUUCUGAGCGUCUUUGGUGAUGGGUGCCGUCAUCUCCCUACCGCGUUCAAGCCCGUCUUUAAAUAGUUGGAACGUAGUAGGGAUGUUGUCUGUGAAUGUACAUGACCGUUCUUAAUCUUUUUUUUUAAACCGUCAAUUUUUUUGCUAUAACUUGGACAUUUUUUUCCGUUUUGUUUGUUUUUCUUUUGUUUUCCGCUCGUUUUUAUUUUUCUUUGCAAGUGGGCCUUGGUCUGUCUCUUUUUUCUUUUCUUCAAAAUGUCUCUUCCUUUUUUAAAAAUGGUUCUUCCCAGUUUCACACAGUCUAGAUUAUUUUGUAAGUAUCGAAAUAUUAGUGAGAAAAGCAGACUUGGACAGUUGACCACAUCUGAGCUCUUUCGCUUUUCCUUGUAGAAAGAGUGUAAACCAAACUGUGUGCUAGGAAAACUUUUGUGUGUGCAUGUACGCUCUUCUUUUUUUUUUUAAUUUUCAUUAUUAUUCCUUGUAUGCGUGAGUGUGUGCGUGUGAAUUCGGGUGGCACCGGGUCGUUGGGUGACCUAUAUAAUAAAGAGACCAUUGGACAACAUGUCAAAAAAGCUUCUGUAGCCGAAACAUCCACGAGAGAAUUUAUUUAAUUUUUCAAUCAUAAAAAACAAGGACGAUCAAGAUUUUUUUCUUUUCUUUCCUCUUUUUUUAUUUUUUACUCAGAAAAAAAAAGAAAUUUGUGCAUAAGUGAUUAUUCCAAUUGUUCUAAAUUCUCUCUUUCCACACUUUUUGUAGAAAACGACCUUUCUUUUGUUUUCGUUAUUUUCUGAAUAGCGUAAUCAGAUAAGGUCUUCUUGCGUUUUAAUUUCUUUUCGUUUCCUGUCUCGUUUUGUGUAUUGAGAUGACUGUAUUGGCGUCCCGAAAAUUCGUCCAUCCAACCGUCUCUGUUCUCUGUAAUAUUUUUCUUCCAAUAAGGGCUGGGUUUUUUUAUUUGGAUCGCAUGAGCGGGUUUUACGUUCAUGUGUUUCCACAACGUUGUGUAUUGUAAAUACUGAAAGAAUUUUCCCCUUUUGCUCUGGCCCUCUUUGCAAUUAAUAAAUAUACGGUUGACGGCUUUCCCUUUA